Molecule: ribosomal RNA, 500 nt
Filed under: Alteromonas sp. WH041
Lineage: Bacteria; Pseudomonadati; Pseudomonadota; Gammaproteobacteria; Alteromonadales; Alteromonadaceae
Description: bacterial SSU rRNA
Rfam family: Bacterial small subunit ribosomal RNA
Source: RNAcentral
UAGCUUGCUAGAAGAUGACGAGUGGCGGACGGGUGAGUAAUGCUUGGGAACUUGCCUUUGCGAGGGGGAUAACAGUUGGAAACGACUGCUAAUACCGCAUAAUGUCUUCGGACCAAACGGGGCUUCGGCUCCGGCGCAAAGAGAGGCCCAAGUGAGAUUAGCUAGUUGGUAAGGUAACGGCUUACCAAGGCGACGAUCUCUAGCUGUUCUGAGAGGAAGAUCAGCCACACUGGGACUGAAACACGGCCCAGACUCCUACGGGAGGCAGCAGUGGGGAAUAUUGCACAAUGGGGGAAACCCUGAUGCAGCCAUGCCGCGUGUGUGAAGAAGGCCUUCGGGUUGUAAAGCACUUUCAGUUGUGAGGAAAAGUUAGUAGUUAAUACCUGCUAGCCGUGACGUUAACAACAGAAGAAGCACCGGCUAACUCCGUGCCAGCAGCCGCGGUAAUACGGAGGGUGCGAGCGUUAAUCGGAAUUACUGGGCGUAAAGCGCACGCAGGC